This 572-nucleotide unclassified non-coding RNA is filed under the name Hevea brasiliensis (rubber tree). The record is from RNAcentral. Lineage: Eukaryota; Viridiplantae; Streptophyta; Magnoliopsida; Malpighiales; Euphorbiaceae.
CUAUACUACUUUGUCUUUCACUAUAUAAAUCAUCCUUAAUUUUAUCUUUCUUACACUUACAUCUCUUCCUCAACAUUUUGCAAAUAUGGAAUACAAAUCCCAAAAGCAGCCUAAAGGGGUCUCACCCAACAAACAAAGCAAGUUCAAAGAAAGAAGCACAGCCUCUACUUGCAGAAGCAAGUUUGUUGGGGUCAGACAAAGACCUUCUGGGAAAUGGGUAGCAGAGAUCAAAGACACUACACAGAAGAUUAGAAUGUGGCUUGGAACUUUCGACACUGCAGAGGAGGCUGCUCGAGCUUACGAUGAAGCUGCAUGCUUGCUUCGCGGUUCCAACACUCGAACCAACUUCACCACCCAUAUCCCUACAAACUCUCCUAUCUCAAUGAAAAUUAGAAAUCUCCUCAAUCACAAAAAGAGUUUGAAACAAAACUGUCCUGCAAAUUCCACCUCAAAAACCACCAUCAAAGCAAGCACUAUGGUUAGUAUCAAUAGCAGCAGCGAAAAUUUUCUAUUCAAUAGUAGUAGUGAUAGUUUUCAAUCUGGUAAUAGCAAUCUCGAUUCACUAUGCAAUG